Molecule: RNA transcript, 2027 nt
Organism: Ziziphus jujuba (common jujube)
Lineage: Eukaryota; Viridiplantae; Streptophyta; Magnoliopsida; Rosales; Rhamnaceae
Exons: 12
Source: RefSeq, a predicted model, not a curated record
AGUAAAACUGCAAAGCGGCAGUGAAAUGAUAGACUGUAAAAACAUAAAUAUUGAAAAAAAAUAAAAAAUUUGAUGUUCGUCUCCGAGCAAAAUCCAAGAUGAAUAUGGAGAUGGAAAAGAUCGAUGAAAGUCAGGGGGCCUUUAGCAGAUAAAGAAAUAGAAGAGACUGAUUGAAACAGAGAGAGAGAGAGAGAGAGAGAGAGAGAGAGAGAGAGGGGCAAAGAUGAGCAGCACAGGGCAAGGUGGACCCCACUCGCUGGCGUUCAGGGUGAUGAGGCUGUGUAGGCCAUCAUUCCAUGUGGACCCCAUCCCUCUCCGGCUUGACCCUUCCGAUCUCCUUGUCGGCGAAGACAUCUUCGACGACCCCAUUGCCGCCUCCCAACUCCCCCGCCUUCUCCGCUCCCACCACCUCUCCAAUCCCACCGCCGACUCCGAUCUCAGCUUCCGCACUCGAUUCCUCCUCCGUGACUCCACCGAUUCCAUGGGCCUCUCCGGCCUCCUCGUCCUCCCCCAAGCUUUUGGAGCAAUAUACUUGGGAGAGACAUUCUGUAGCUACAUUAGUAUCAACAACAGCUCCACUUUUGAAGCUAGAGAUGUUAUAAUCAAGGCGGAGAUUCAAACGGAGAGGCAGAGGAUAUUAUUGUUGGAUACAUCAAAAUCACCUGUGGAAUCCAUACGUGCAGGAGGGCGUUAUGAUUUCAUUGUGGAACAUGAUGUCAAGGAACUUGGAGCUCACACCCUGGUCUGCACUGCAUUGUACAAUGAUGGUGACGGUGAGCGUAAAUAUCUUCCUCAGUUCUUUAAGUUCAUUGUUGCAAAUCCACUCUCAGUCAGGACAAAGGUCCGUGUUGUUAAGGAUACAACAUUUUUAGAAACUUGCAUUGAAAAUCACACAAAAUCAAACCUUUUCAUGGACCAAGUUGAAUUUGAGCCAGCUCAGCACUGGAGCACAUCUAUACUUAAAGCUGAUGAACACCAUACCGAAAAUAAUUCCAUAAAUAGUAACAGAGAGACAUUUAAGCCACCAGUUCUCAUCAAGUCCGGCGGAGGAAUUCACAACUAUCUUUAUCAAUUAAAAUUGCCAUCGCAUGAUUCUCCACAAACAAAAGUUCAGGGAAGUAAUGUUCUUGGGAAACUUCAGAUAACUUGGCGGACAAAUCUGGGUGAACCUGGUCGCUUACAGACCCAACAAAUUCUAGGCAAUCCCAUAACUUAUAAGGAGAUUGAGUUGCACGAUGUGGAAGUGCCCUCUGUCAUCAACUUGGACAGGCCCUUUACGCUGCACAUCAACCUUACAAACCUGACAGAGAAGGAAUUGGGCCCCUUUGAAGUUUGGUUAUCUGAAAAUGGUUCAGAUGAGGAUAAAGUUGUCGUCAUUAAUGGUCCACAAAUAGUGGUAAUGUGUUACCAAGACUUGAGGCAUUUGGUUCUACAAAAUUUACUCUGAACCUCAUUGCUACUAAACUUGGAGUUCAGAAAAUCACAGGCAUUACAGUGUUCAACACAACAGAGAAGAAAUCCUACGACCCUUUGCCAGAUUUAGAGAUUUUUGUGGAUUUGGACUAACCAUUGGGCAGUAUGGUUGUGCCAACCCGCGGUGCUGAUUUAGCUUUCCUUAUUCUGUGUGGUUUGAGCAAUCUAUUGAUCAGAAUAUUCAUUAGUCUCAUCAAUGGUCGAACAGAUUAGAAUACCAUGGAAUGUUCGUUGAUGGCUAUUCUCAAUGGUCUCGGAUAGCAUACUCCUAUACAUUUGUUGUGAUCACUCCAUUCCACAAAUGGCAGGCUCCUUUCACACUUUCAUGACUUUCCAUGAUCUAGGCAAGUCAUUGCGGCGCCAAUUUCUCUUACCGAAACUGCCUUUCAUAUUUUCUAGUUGGGACUCGUCAAUGGCAAAUUCCUUAUGUUGAUAUAUGAGAGCCUAACUAAACUAAUUGAUAUUCUGAUUGCUAAUGAGCUUUGUAAACUAUUUCUUUCUAUGCUUCUUUCAAUAAGCUAUAAUCAACUUAAAUUGGUCCCGUUAUCGAUUUA